GGAGUAAGAAACUAUGCUUUCGUGAGGUUUUCACCUCCGUACGAGCUAGUGGAUUGCUUCCGGGAUACAUCCGUACAUAUGAUUUCGUGAGAUUUUCAUCUUCGCAUGGUCAUAGGGAAAUGUAUUCCCCUGAAUCAAACUCGAUUCAUAUGAGCCUAUAAUGAGUGAGAAUUGAGGAAUCUGCUGGUUCAGGUACCCUUUCUCUAGAAUCGAGCUACAUAUAGCGAACCUUGAGAGUUCACCUUAGGUAGAACCUUGCCUAAAUUUAGUGGUCACCCGAAUAGGUCUUUUAUUUGUUAUUUAUUUCUCCUGUACUAACAGGUUUUGUUUUUGUUUUGUUUAUAACUGCAUUGCAUUACAUCAUCAUAGAAAGGAGGUGUUGAUUCAUAUUUGAUUACUAAAUAGAACAGUUUGUCAUAAGAAAAUGAAUUUCCUGAUAAAGCGGAUUAUAAUACAGUUGUCUGAAUUGAAGGAAAAAUGCUGCCAGUUCGUGGAGAAAAACAAGUUUUUACUUGAAGAUUCAAGCUAAUAAAGAUUGUUCAAGAGCCAUCGUAUCUUGAUUUUCUUAAUGGAGCUAAUCAACAUAGUGAGGAUAAUGAGUCAUAGCCUGGAUCAAGCAAAGAAGAGCUAGAUGAGGCAUUUAUUAGAGGCUUGCGAGAUUUGGAUUUCACGAAGAAAAGGGAUCGGUGUCUUCGCUUGGAAUAUGAAAGUAAGGCCGUAUGUGUAAUCCGUUUUAUGUAAAGGGAUUUGUUUUCUAGAAAAGUUGUUCUAAUGGAAUUAAAUUGAAAAUCAACACUUCCCUUUCUUUUGCACCCAUCCCAUGCAUUUGCAUUACAUUGCAUCAUUUCAUCAUUUGCAUUAAAUUUUCAUAAAAGGGGUCCCUAAUCAAUUGAAAUCAUUUCAGUUAAUCUGGGAACCAAUAAAGACUUACCAACCAAGUGUCGUUACGGUACCCGUGCUAAGACAAAAGAUAUGGACAAAAGAUUGCAA
This 990-nucleotide long non-coding RNA is filed under the name Gossypium barbadense (sea-island cotton). RNAcentral's name for it is "long non-coding RNA (GBAR_LNC000070)". The record is from RNAcentral. Lineage: Eukaryota; Viridiplantae; Streptophyta; Magnoliopsida; Malvales; Malvaceae.